UUGCACAGCGAACACCCAAGGAUGCUAACAUCAUGGCUGUCCCUGGUCUCUCAUGUCUGUGCUACAGUGACUCUGAUCUUUUCCUCUGCAUUAGGAGAGUUUCAGUCUCUCCUACAAUGUAUUCAGCUGAUCAGAACAAAC
Molecule: small nucleolar RNA, 141 nt
Filed under: Seriola dumerili (greater amberjack)
Lineage: Eukaryota; Metazoa; Chordata; Actinopteri; Carangiformes; Carangidae
Description: Small nucleolar RNA SNORA22 (ENSSDUG00000017707.1)
Rfam family: Small nucleolar RNA SNORA22
About the family: ACA22 is a member of the H/ACA class of snoRNA that guide the sites of modification of uridines to pseudouridines.
Source: RNAcentral